GACAGAGGGUGCAAACGUUGCUCGGAAUCACUGGGCGUAAAGGGCGUGUAGGCGGGAAGGAAAGUCAGAUGUGAAAGCCCUGGGCUCAACCCAGGAACUGCAUUUGAAACUCCCUUUCUUGAGUGUCGGAGAGGAAAGCGGAAUUCCUGGUGUAGAGGUGAAAUUCGUAGAUAUCAGGAGGAACACCGGUGGCGAAGGCGGCUUUCUGGACGACAACUGACGCUGAGGCGCGAUAGCGUGGGGAGCAAACAGG
This 253-nucleotide ribosomal RNA is filed under the name uncultured bacterium. Its description in RNAcentral is "partial 16S ribosomal RNA". It matches the Rfam family "Bacterial small subunit ribosomal RNA", at positions 524 to 776 of the family's 1533-position model. The record is from RNAcentral.